AUACCCCAUAACAUUUAGAAAAGGCAUCUUUUCUUUAUCAAAGUUCAGGCGGUUAAAGAUGGACAUGCGGUGCAUUAGCUUGUUGGUGAGGUAACGGCUCACCAAGGCUACGAUGCAUAGGGGGUCUGAGAGGAUGAUCCCCCACACUGGUACUGAGACACGGACCAGACUCCUACGGGAGGCAGCAGUAGGGAAUAUUGGGCAAUGGACGAAAGUCUGACCCAGCCACGCCGCGUGAAGGAUGACUGCCCUAUGGGUUGUAAACUUCUUUUGUAUGGGAAGAAAAUUCCGAACGUGUUCGGAGCUGACGGUACCAUAAGAAUAAGCAUCGGCUAACUCCGUGCCAGCAGCCGCGGUAAUACGGAGGAUGCAAGCGUUGUCCGGAUUCAUUGGGUUUAAAGGGUGCGUAGGCGGAGAAUUAAGUCAGUGGUGAAAGCUUACAGCUUAACUGUAAAAAUGCCAUUGAAACUGAUUUUCUUGAGUUCGAUUGAGGUAGAUGGAAUGUAUCAUGUAGCGGUGAAAUGCUUAGAUAUGAUACAGAACACCAAUUGCGAAGGCAGUCUACUAAGUCGAUACUGACGCUGACGCACGAAAGCAUGGGGAGCAAACAGGAUUAGAUACCCUGGUAGUCCAUGCCCUAAACGUUGAUUACUCGUUGUUGGCGAUACACUGUCAGCGACUAAGCGAAAGCGUUAAGUAAUCCACCUGGGGAGUACGAUCGCAAGGUUGAAACUCAAAGGAAUUGAUGGGGGC
RNAcentral lists this ribosomal RNA (753 nucleotides) under uncultured bacterium. Its description in RNAcentral is "bacterial SSU rRNA". It matches the Rfam family "Bacterial small subunit ribosomal RNA", at positions 166 to 920 of the family's 1533-position model. The record is from RNAcentral.